This 253-nucleotide ribosomal RNA is filed under the name uncultured bacterium. RNAcentral's name for it is "partial 16S ribosomal RNA". It matches the Rfam family "Bacterial small subunit ribosomal RNA", at positions 524 to 776 of the family's 1533-position model. The record is from RNAcentral.
CACGUAGGGCGCAAGCGUUGUCCGGAAUUAUUGGGCGUAAAGAGCUCGUAGGCGGACUGUUGCGUCCGCUGUGAAAAGCUGGGGCUUAACCCUGGCCUUGCAGUGGAUACGGGCAGACUAGAGGUAGGUAGGGGAGAAUGGAAUUCCCGGUGUAGAGGUGAAAUGCGCAGAUAUCGGGAGGAACACCGGUGGCGAAGGCGGUUCUCUGGGACGGUACUGACGCUGAGACGCGAAAGCGUGGGGAGCGAACAGG